UACGUAGGGGGCAAGCGUUGUCCGGAAUCAUUGGGCGUAAGGCGCGUGUAGGCGGCUCGGUAAGUCCGCUCUGAAAGUCCAGGGCUCAACCCUGGGAUGCGGGUGGAUACUGCCGGGCUCGAGUCCGGAAGAGGCGAGUGGAAUUCCCGGUGUAGCGGUGAAAUGCGCAGAUAUCGGGAGGAACACCAAUGGCGAAGGCAGCUCGCUGGGACGUGACUGACGCUGAGACGCGAAGGCGUGGGGAGCAAACAGG
Molecule: ribosomal RNA, 253 nt
Filed under: uncultured bacterium
Lineage: Bacteria
Description: partial 16S ribosomal RNA
Rfam family: Bacterial small subunit ribosomal RNA
Source: RNAcentral